Molecule: ribosomal RNA, 468 nt
Filed under: uncultured bacterium
Lineage: Bacteria
Description: partial 16S ribosomal RNA
Rfam family: Bacterial small subunit ribosomal RNA
Source: RNAcentral
GACGAACGCUGGCGGCGUGCUUAACACAUGCAAGUCGAACGGAAAGGCCCUGCUUUUGUGGGGUGCUCGAGUGGCGAACGGGUGAGUAACACGUGAGUAACCUGCCCUUGACUUUGGGAUAACUUCAGGAAACUGGGGCUAAUACCGGAUAGGAGCUCCUGCUGCAUGGUGGGGGUUGGAAAGUUUCGGCGGUUGGGGAUGGACUCGCGGCUUAUCAGCUUGUUGGUGGGGUAGUGGCUUACCAAGGCUUUGACGGGUAGCCGGCCUGAGAGGGUGACCGGCCACAUUGGGACUGAGAUACGGCCCAGACUCCUACGUGAGGCAGCAGUGGGGAAUAUUGCACAAUGGGCGGAAGCCUGAUGCAGCAACGUCGCGUGCGGGAUGACGGCCUUCGGGUUGUAAACCGCUUUCGCCUGUGACGAAGCGUGAGUGACGGUAAUGGGUAAAGAAGCACCGGCUAACUACGUG